This is a long non-coding RNA of Oncorhynchus tshawytscha (Chinook salmon), 312 nucleotides long. The record is from Ensembl. NCBI's taxonomy places the organism in Eukaryota, Metazoa, Chordata, Actinopteri, Salmoniformes, Salmonidae.
AAGGAGUCAAACUUUAGAGGAAAGGAACAAGAGUCUGAAACAGCACAGGAAUGAGGUGCAACACAAGGAGUCAAACUUUAGAGGAAAGGAACAAGAGUCUGAAACAGCACAGGAAUGAGGUGCAACACAAGGAGUGAGAAUGAGAAAAGAGACAAGUCAGACACAUUGAAAAACAGAAAGAGCCCUGUAUUUUCCUCUGUCCUACCACUUUGUAUUUUCACUGUGAAGCAAGUUAAGGUUAUAGUUCUUGUUAAAGUUCUCUGUAGCAAUUACUUUGUAAGAGUGCUACAACAGGAAUGAAAUAGAAUUGAA